UUCAAGGGCGUGACCGCUUAGAAUAAAACGGACGGAACCGUCUGACGCCCUCGGGAAUCAGUCGAACGAGGCGCGAACGCGUUCGAGUUCCAGAGCGUAAAAGUCUGGCUCGAGCGUCCAGUAGCGUUCGUAAGGCGCAUUUCUCGAGGGUUAGCGUCGCGACCGAUGCGAAAGGCUGGCGAGACUGUCGAGUUGAGGUCGAAUUCCCUCGCGGGUUUUCGCUACCAGCUCGGCGGUACCGAGUCGCCAGACCGCAGUAUGCAUCGAGCGUCAUCGAAAAGGGACUCUGGCGAAAAUUGGCGCUCGCUCCAACGGCGGAAACCGGGCCGGUCGUUCGACGCCGGCUCGCAGGCGCUCGUUUGAUUCGGUCUGGUACAAAGUCGUGGGCGACGUUCCAGCGUCCCGGCGUCCGCGACGUCCGAGUCGGUCACCCGUCCGACCCGUCUUGAAACACGGACCAAGGAGUCUAACGUACGCGCGAGCCAAUGGGUGGAAACCCCAUAGGCGGAAUAAAAGUAAAAGUCAUCUUUCGAUGGCUGAGGUACGAUCCCCGAUAGGGGCGCAGUACCGUCCCGUCCUGACCGCGCGUCGGUAGGGCGGAGACAGAGCGCCUGCGUUGGGACCCGAAAGAUGGUGAACUAUGCCUGAGCAGAGCGAAGCCAGAGGAAACUCUGGUGGAGGUUCGUAGCGGUUCUGACGUGCAAAUCGAUCGUCAG
Molecule: ribosomal RNA, 716 nt
Filed under: Xiphinema sp. EFA 181
Lineage: Eukaryota; Metazoa; Nematoda; Enoplea; Dorylaimida; Longidoridae
Description: LSU rRNA
Rfam family: Eukaryotic large subunit ribosomal RNA
Source: RNAcentral